UAAUACGCUCUCUCCUUAUUAAUUAAUUAAUCAGAAUAAUAGUUAGGUCUGCCUCGCAUCACUCCCGCCAGAACCUCAGUCAGUGUGUGUGUGUGUGUGUGUUUUUUUUGUUGGCCGCCGAAAGUCUCCGUCGGUCUCAAUUUUACCGAAGUAACAGCGCUACCAUUUCGUUGCUUUAAAGGGUCAGGGCAUGAAAUAUUUCCAAGUUUUUCUCCUUUUUCUUUGAUGCUCUACUCACAAGAAAUCACAUUUAGGCAUUUAAGCUUUAUUCAAAUUCAUGGGCCAAACUAUUUCAUCAUUGAACGUGCAGUCGAUGCUGAAUCCAGCUUAGCUAUCCCUGUUCCUGCUCAUUGCUUAAACUGAUUAGUUCUUUUCUUUUCCUUUUUCCUUUGGGAAUUAAAAUUUUUCUUGAUAUUUGUUGAUAUAGAAAGGUACUAUGGCUUGGUGGGGAGAUGCUGAUGAAACUCGGGUUCUUAUUGCACCAGAUCACGAUACAAAUGGGAAUGGUUCAGGAAAUGUUCUAUCUCUUCGGCAUCCCAAAACUGGAAAUAAGGCAUGCUACCUCUAUUUUGAUGAAGAACUUCUGGAACUUCACUGGUUUAAGCAAUCUUAUGGGUCUUGGUUCCUGGGGGAUUAUGUUUGUGAAGAUGGCCGCUUAUAUACUGCCACUCCAGUAGAUCCUGUUUUCAUCCUGCUGCCUAUAUUUGAUGAAGCACGAAUGAAGAAAAAAGAUGAUCCAGGGAAAUUCAGGCAGCUGGAUGAGAUAUUGUAUGUUCAAGGGUAUGAAGGAUAUCAACAAUUGGCAUCUAUUGCAGAAAAAUCCAUGCAAAUAGUCUGUGAUUUUAAAGAAGUUGGAUCAGCAAAGUUUUUUAGGCUUAAUGACUCGAAGGUGUUAAGGUGGUUGAGCUAUAAGUUCUUGCAAUUUGUAGGUGCACCAAUUAAGGCAGGUUCUACCAACGCUGGAUAAGAACUAUGCUGCCCAAAUUGAGAGAGCUACAUUGGUUGAUGCGGUCUCAGUAAUUGGUGAAUACUUGAAUGAAGAGCCUUGGCUGAAGCUUCUUUGCGGCAAGUUAAACUUGUGCUUACAGGAUGAACUGAGAUCACCAGAGCGCAAAAUUCUUCCAUCCUCACUUGAAAGUGGUCAGGCAUCGUUUGAUACCAAUGCAAUUCAGGAAAAGACGGGGUUUGAGAAGAAAACUACUGGAAAUGGAAGGCUAGCAAAAAAGGCCAAAGUGGAGAAAAACACUCGAAAUAUCAAAGACAUGUUCAGCAGAGCUUCGAGAAAAGGAAGUUGAAUUUUGCCGUAUAAUUGGCUGUAGCAACGGUAUGGCACUGUAAAGGCGUGAUGAAGGGGGCAACGGAGGCUGCAAUGAACAAUUUGGGCAUUGGCACCUGUAACAUUCUCUUGAGCAGAUGGCUUUACCCGAAGGCUACUGCUUCUGUACAAUGUUAAUAAACAUAAUUGCUGUAUUCUUAGUGGCACAAGGGUCAAUGAAUCAACGGUUUAUACAAAUCUCAACCCUGUAAUUCUUCCAUAUAUCUGCCUGUCUUUCAUUAAGGACCUGAUGAAGGUCCAUGGAUUGAACUAUUUAAGACGUGGACUCAGAGGAGCUGCCAUAGCUAUGAGGUACUUUAGGCUUGCAAGUAAAUGGAAUUGCUGAUUUCUGGUUAGUGGCCUUUACACUAGUCAAUAAUGUAUUAUUGUAGCCAUUAUAGUUUUA
Non-coding RNA from Coffea arabica (coffee), 1721 nucleotides. NCBI's taxonomy places the organism in Eukaryota, Viridiplantae, Streptophyta, Magnoliopsida, Gentianales, Rubiaceae. The record is from RefSeq and is a predicted model, not a curated record.